RNAcentral lists this unclassified non-coding RNA (432 nucleotides) under plant metagenome. Its description in RNAcentral is "partial contains 5.8S ribosomal RNA, internal transcribed spacer 2, and large subunit ribosomal RNA". The stretch from base 1 to 102 matches the Rfam family "5.8S ribosomal RNA", at positions 50 to 154 of the family's 154-position model. The record is from RNAcentral.
AAACUGCGAUAAGUAGUGUGAAUUGCAUUUAGUGAAUCAUCGAAUCUUUGAACGCACCUUGCACUCACUGGUAUUCCGGUGAGUACGCCUGUUUCAGUAUCAUUGAAAACACACAAUCAAAACAUUUUCUUUGGUUUGAUUGGCUUUGGGUCUAUCAAAAAGUUUGGCUUGUUUCUUACAAGCCAAGCGGCCUGAAAUAUAUUGUCUGGCUAAUUGCAUCGUUGAUGAUCGCUAUUAGACUUUGGCUUUUUUAAAUGAACUGGAGGUUGAUUAACCAGUUUUAGCUUUAGUCAAAUGGUCAUUGUAAAAAAAAAUCUCGAUCUUGGCUAGGUGUUUAUAGCCGAAAAUUUUUUUUUGGCUAUAACCGAAACCAAUAUAAUCACAUUUAGUUAUCGAUCUGAAAUCAGGUGGGACUACCCGCUGAACUUAAGC